RNAcentral lists this ribosomal RNA (433 nucleotides) under uncultured bacterium. Its description in RNAcentral is "partial 16S ribosomal RNA". It matches the Rfam family "Bacterial small subunit ribosomal RNA", at positions 29 to 507 of the family's 1533-position model. The record is from RNAcentral.
AACGAACGCUGGCGGCAGGCCUAACACAUGCAAGUCGAGCGGACCCUUCGGGGUUAGCGGCGGACGGGUGAGUAACGCGUGGGAAUAUGCCCUUCUCUACGGAAUAGUCCUGGGAAACUGGGGGUAAUACCGUAUACGCCCUUUGGGGGAAAGAUUUAUCGGGGAAGGAUUAGCCCGCGUUGGAUUAGGUAGUUGGUGGGGUAAUGGCCUACCAAGCCGACGAUCCAUAGCUGGUUUGAGAGGAUGAUCAGCCAAACUGGGACUGAGACACGGCCCAGACUCCUACGGGAGGCAGCAGUGGGGAAUCUUAGACAAGGGGGGCAACCCUGAUCUAGCCAUGCCGCGUGAGUGAUGAAGGCCUUAGGGUUGUAAAGCUCUUUCAGCUGGGAAGAUAAUGACGGUACCAGCAGAAGAAGCCCCGGCUAACUCCGUG